GAUGAACGCUGGCGGCGUGCCUAAUACAUGCAAGUCGAGCGAACGGACGAGAAGCUUGCUUUUCUGAUGUUAGCGGCGGACGGGUGAGUAACACGUGGAUAACCUACCUAUAAGACUGGGAUAACUUCGGGAAACCGGAGCUAAUACCGGAUAAUAUUUUGAACCGCAUGGUUCAAAAGUGAAAGACGGUCUUGCUGUCACUUAUAGAUGGAUCCGCGCUGCAUUAGCUAGUUGGUAAGGUAACGGCUUACCAAGGCAACGAUGCAUAGCCGACCUGAGAGGGUGAUCGGCCACACUGGAAAUGAGAUACGGUCCAGACUCCUACGGGAGGCAGCAGUAGGGAAUCUUCCGCAAUGGGCGAAAGCCUGACGGAGCAACGCCGCGUGAGUGAUGAAGGUCUUCGGAUCGUAAAACUCUGUUAUUAGGGAAGAACAUAUGUGUAAGUAACUGUGCACAUCUUGACGGUACCUAAUCAGAAAGCCACGGCUAACUACGUG
This 497-nucleotide ribosomal RNA is filed under the name uncultured bacterium. RNAcentral's name for it is "partial 16S ribosomal RNA". It matches the Rfam family "Bacterial small subunit ribosomal RNA", at positions 28 to 507 of the family's 1533-position model. The record is from RNAcentral.